RNA transcript from Cuculus canorus (common cuckoo), 4192 nucleotides. It is a transcript of the gene named sodium/potassium transporting ATPase interacting 2, with no coding region annotated. The record is from RefSeq and is a predicted model, not a curated record. The transcript is spliced from 8 exons. Lineage: Eukaryota; Metazoa; Chordata; Aves; Cuculiformes; Cuculidae.
GGUUCGCGAGCGGAGUUGAAGGGGGCAAACUUUGAAGUCCAGAUGCCCGCGGGGCCGCGCGGCAGAGCGCGGCUGCUCCUCCCGCAGGCACCUGCCGCCCCGCUGCCCCCGGCGCUGCCGCCCUCCGGCCCCGCAGCCGGCGGCCGCGGCUAGGGCGGGCGGGCGCGCCCCCAUGCGGGUCCCGGGCUGCUGGGGCGCGCCGGCAGGCGGGAGCCGGGCGGCGGCCGGGCGGUGCUGCUCUCCCGCCGCCUGAGCGGGCGCGGCGCGGGGUGCCGGGAGCCAUGGGCUAUUGCAGCGGCCGCUGCACGCUGGUGGCGGUGUGCGGCGCGCAGCUGGUUUCUGUGCUCGAGAGGCAGAUAUUUGACUUCCUUGGUUAUCAGUGGGCACCCAUUCUGGCAAAUUUUAUACACAUUAUUAUAGUCAUACUUGGCUUAUUUGGAACCAUCCAAUAUAGACCUCGUUACAUAACAGGAUAUGCUGUCUGGCUGAUCCUUUGGGUUACAUGGAACGUGUUUGUUAUCUGCUUCUAUUUGGAGGCUGGAGACCUAUCAAAGGAGACAGAUCUCAUUCUGACCUUUAAUAUUUCAAUGCAUCGUUCUUGGUGGAUGGAAAAUGGGCCGGGCUGCACCGUGACCUCAGUAACUCCAGCCCCAGACUGGGCACCAGAGGAUCAUCGUUAUAUCACUGUCUCGGGGUGUUUUCUUGAAUAUCAGUACAUAGAAGUGGCUCACAGUUCUCUUCAGAUCUUCCUUGCACUGGCGGGCUUCAUCUAUGCCUGUUAUGUUGUGAAAUGUAUUACUGAAGAAGAGGACAGCUUUGAUUUCAUAGGUGGAUUUGACUCUUACGGCUAUCAAGGUCCACAGAAGACAUCUCAUUUACAGCUACAGCCCAUGUAUAUUGCCAACAGCGUGCUCUAUUCUGCACAAGCCAAGAAGCCUAGACAGUCCCUUCAAAACGAAUACGCUUUUUAAACAGAAUGGGACAGAACUGAAGCUCAUAUACCUCCUUGCAGUGUGGCCACAGCUCAUGUACUAGAAAGCAGCUUCCUGGCAUUCUGUGUGGGAGAAGGCAGUGCUCAUUUCCAGAUCAUAGGACAAGAACACAAUAAGAUGGUGGAAAACAAUUGUCAAGAGAAAAUUCUGCUCUUGGGAGGUGACCGAGGAAGGUCAAAGUGAAUGCAGUCACUACUCAAGGUGGGCUGGAGGACCUCUCAAAGAAACUGUUUCAGGAUGGCCUCUCUUUCUUCAAAGAGCAAAAAAUUAUUCAGUUUUUGUGCUAAAAAUAAAAAAAGCUGAUUGAACAGAAGACGAAAAACAGCAAACACCUUUAGCUCCUCUUUCUAACAGGUACUAAGGGAGAUGCCCCGGACCCCCACCUUGGACCUCCUGCCUCCCAGCACCAGAGGGUCAGAGCAGAGGCCAGCAUGGCCCAUCUGGAUUAAGACAUGAACCCAGCCCAUUCGGUGCUUUCGGAGCCCACUCCACACUCCUGACCAUGUUGAGUCUCCUUAGUCAACAGAACAGUAAAAAUACCAGGAUGACCCUGAAGCAGAAAUCAAUAAACAGCGCAUUGUUUGCCCUGAAGGCUGUACAGUUCAUACUUGCCUUAACCCUACUGCAUUGCACAUCAGAGAAACUUCGUGCAAGCUUUCUGAAGUAACGUCCUUUAGGCUCAAAAUGUUGCUGUUAAUUCUGAACGAUUUCUAAGUCAGUGGUUUUCUCCUGGUUGGUUUUUUGUUUGGUUUUUUUUUGUUUGUUUUCAUGUCAGGGAAUAAGGCUCUGUUGCUCCACUGCUCCAGAGCAACCAAGUAGAAAACUGCCAGCUGUCUGAGAAGUGCAUUACUUUUGAGGCUCUACAGUGGUCAAGAAACAGCCAGUUUAUAAUGGUUAAUAAAAAAAAGAGACCAUUUGGGGGUCCGGGUGGGGAGAGGGGUAACAUUAAUAAUUGAACCUACUGGAAAUAAGCAGCAGAAACAGUGCUUCUUAAUCCCGCUGUUUUUAUUUAUCGCACUGUAGGUGCUUUUAUAGCUAUCUCUAAAUGUCUUUUACUAACUACAGAGACAUCUGCAGAUUUCUAUCAACAAAGGCCAACUGAAUAUGUACUAGCUAUGUUUACUCUUUUAUAUCUAAUUUCAACUGAAAAUUCUCUGUGAGCUUUCUUUUUUUCUAAUUGCACCAUAAGGGAUCUAUAUAUUUUAUUUUUUUGUUUCAGUUGGGGAGGGUGGGGAGGGACUAGUUGAGUUGAAGACAUAUUGGAGAACUUUUUGUGGUAUAUUUGGGGGAUCUGUUGUGUGUUAGAAUGUGUAUUUUACCUUCCUGUAUUCUUGUGGCUGAAAAAAACUGUGCUGUUACGUAGUUGGCAACAAGAUGCCUUUGGGAAUUUUGCUAGUAGGUCAAUGUGUAUAUGAAAUACUCUGAACUCCUAGGAACGUAUGUUUUGUUCUACAUCUGAUCGUAUUUUCAAGCAUUUAGGUGGCUUUCAUUAGGAAAAACCUAAUAUUUUGCUCAGGCUUUUCAGAAACUUGGAUUGUCAUUGUUUCUUUGCUCAGACCUUGCAUAGGCAAACACACGCACCUAUCACACCUGAGGUGACCACAUAGCUUUUGAGGGCAAGAAGGAUGGUCAAUGCUUGGAAAGGCUUGAGUUGCCCCAAGCAUCUCUCUUUUCCUUAUUGGCCAAAACCUCACACCUGCACAGCUCCCACGGCCUGUGCACUCGCGCCACUCGUCCAUCCCUGUACAAACCAGUGCCCUUUGCUGUGUCUGCAUGGAUGUACAGUGUCACAAACAACAGCUCUGGACAAUGACAGAGGAAGAGGCAUUUAUCAGUGAAAAUAAGAUAUGGGAUAUGUCCAGGAACUAUACGUACAUUUAUUGAGAUUUUUAUAUGCAUAUAUAUAUAUAUGUAAGAGUUUGUGUGUAUGUCUAUGUUUAUAAAAUACACAGGAACAACUAUUGGCAGGGGCUGCAUAACGCAGGAAGAAUUUGAUGAGCAGGGUCAAGGACUCCAGUCUCAGAUCCUCCUAGGGGUUUCCUGCAUGAAUUAAGCACGUCUCCUAGGCCUCAUCCUGAAAGCCAGUCAUUGCUGAUUUAUAUCUCAAAUUUAAAUUUAAAUUUUCAGACUUGGGUAUCUGAAAUUCUAAGUUCAUUCAGGGUAGAGCUGCUUUGCACUCCCUGGAAAAUCAUGCAAAUUUCAAGCAUCAGGCUGAAAUUUCCCAUAACUUGAAAAUUUUCAAAAAAUUUGACUUUUAUGUAGUACUAAAUAUAGCAGUUGUAUAUUAUGAAACACAAUGCAGAGGUUUAACUGGAAUGAAAAUAUCACAACAGGGUAUUAUACCUUUCCCUGUAUAACAGUUAAUCAAAAUCAUAUUUCUAUAAAAAUCAUUUUUAACAUGAAAAGAAACCAGUUUAGGCACCUAAGCAGUGAUCUAACUUUCAGAAUAUAAUUUUUCAUAUCUUACAGUGAUUUUGCACAGAACAGUGACUACUGGUAGUUAGCAAUUUUAGAAGUCAGGCAAUUUAAUGAAGGGUCUAUGUGUAGUUUUUAGGUCUGAUUUUAACUUAGAAAAUUUUGGCCUUAAUUUCUCUCGUCUUAGUCUUCCCAUCUAUAAAACGGGACUAAUAAGUGCCUCACAGGUUUUUUUGUGAGGUCUGAAUUGUUGAUGUUUGCAAAGUGCUUAGGAGAUAGGAAGCACAUCUGACUAUUAAGGAUUACAACAUAAAUGCCUAUUCACAUAUUACAUACAGAGUAGAAAUCCAGUCAAACACACAGUAUACAUAUAUAUAUAUGUACAUGCAUACCUAUAUGAAGUUGGUAUUCAUCACCCUGCUUAAGUUGCAGUUCAAGCACCACCAUUAAAAAGAAAUUAUGACUGUUGACUACUAAACUAAACGAUUAGUGAACAGAUCUCUUCUGGAAGCAGUUUAGAGCACAGUGAUGUGAGAAUAUCUGGAUGACAUUUUUGAUUUGUACAGCUGUAUCCUCCUCAAAAUCCAGUAAAGAAUGUUAUUUUUCUAGGCUGGGCUUUUGUUAUGAACUGAAAUAUUCAGAAGGUAAGAGAUACAAUCCAAAUGUGUCUUUUUUUUUUUCUUUUCUUUUUGACAUUUGUUAAUUCUGAAUGUAUUUUUAACAAAAGUGAUUUUUUGACUUACUAGUGUAAUUUGCAUUUAAAAAAAAUAAAUGGAAAAAAUAUA